UUGGCAAGCCGGGUGAUCGGGACGUACAAUUUUGUGCGCAAGCGCAAAAAUGUUACGUUCAGGAAAAUCCGAACACUCUCCGCCUCAACGGCGGAUAAACUACUCCGGGUAAUACCCGGCCCCGCCAACAGCUACGCAGUUGCGGGCGGGAGGGGUGCGAACAGUGACGAUGUCCGCCGACGAGGCGGAAGUGAAACGGCUAAAUCCCUGUAGAGUGCAAGAGUAAACCCAAGGGUUUGCAUUCAUGUAGACUUCUUGGUGAAAAGUAACUCGCUUGAGCCUGAGAGUAAUCGAAGGCCUAGAUAGAUGAUCGCCUACCCGCCCGACCGAACGCAGUUGGUCGUUCGGGCGAGGAAACAGAAUUCGGUUUACGAGCUUGCCAAGACA
RNAcentral lists this RNase P RNA (387 nucleotides) under Candidatus Wildermuthbacteria bacterium RIFCSPHIGHO2_02_FULL_48_16. RNAcentral's name for it is "RNase P RNA component class A". It matches the Rfam family "Bacterial RNase P class A". Rfam says of the family: Ribonuclease P (RNase P) is a ubiquitous endoribonuclease, found in archaea, bacteria and eukarya as well as chloroplasts and mitochondria. Its best characterised activity is the generation of mature 5'-ends of tRNAs by cleaving the 5'-leader elements of precursor-tRNAs. Cellular RNase Ps are ribonucleoproteins. Lineage: Bacteria; Candidatus Wildermuthiibacteriota. The record is from RNAcentral.